This 1375-nucleotide long non-coding RNA is filed under the name Anser brachyrhynchus (Pink-footed goose). RNAcentral describes it as "lncRNA (ENSABRG00000005035.1)". The record is from RNAcentral. Lineage: Eukaryota; Metazoa; Chordata; Aves; Anseriformes; Anatidae.
UAAGAAACCUUACUGAGGAAACAAAACAAACCAAAACAAAAUGGAGCAAAACAAAUGAAACAAGCAGCUAGCUUGCUGGAGACAUUGUCUGGAAAACAGUGAAAACACUUCCAAACAAAAAUAUAUCAAAGGACUAAUGCUUUGAGCUUAAUUCUAAAGAAACGUCAUAAACUCAAACUCUUGUUUAUGUUCAUAACAGAAAGCAACAGACUGGUAUAGUAACAUGUCACAUUUGAUGACUGCAGCAUAGAUGUCAGGAAUGCAGCUUGGGAUCACCUCCUUCUACUUAGAGUUUAGUUUGAAGGGAUGAGCAAGUAAUUUUUCCUGGGUUGAUGGAAAUCUGUUCUAAAGUCUGUUUUCUAACACUCUCAUAGAUACUUCUCUGUCCAUCGCUCUGUCCUGCCAACUCUGCUGUGAGUGUGAAGUUGUGGCAAGAGGGAUUUCCUAUUCCUAAUGUGACCUGGUGGACACCAACUUUCCUACUAAAUUGCCGAUGUUGCUGAGGAGGCAGCAGUAUCAAAGCCCUUGUGGAUGAAGAUAUAACAAGUUUGGGGAGGCUUUGGCAUUUCUGUACAAUGCUGCUCCCUGAUUGUGACCCAAGACUCAGAUUCUGAAGGAAGCAAAGCAAGCUGGAGGAAAACUGUAUGCCCUGUCUCCAAAACUCCAUAUUAUAGCUGAUCUUCAUCUCUGAUCUGAAAAGCUUCACAGGCCAGAAGAGAAUUGAGAUGAGGAAGGAAGCAGAGAAUGCUGAUGAAUAUUUCCAAUUACCACCCCAACUUACGUCUUGGUUCUUCACAUCAAACCAGAGCAGUUUCUUUGCCUUCACAACCUGCAGACUGACCUCUCGUGUGUACCUGUGGUGGAUUGAAGGUAAUGCUUGUAAUGUUUCUAACACACCCUGAUGCUGUAUUCACUUUAACUUUUAGAAAAGAGAGCAAGAAGCUUCACAGCAGUUUCUUAGGUGCCUGUCUGUCUGUCUGUCUAUCUAUCUAUCUGUCAAUCUAUCUACCUAUAUGCAUAUAUAUUUAAUUAUUUAUUUACUUAUUUAAAGAUAUCUUUUGUUCAUUAACAUGAAUCCUCUGACUGUUACUAAUGUAUGGGACAUACCGUGACAGUAUAAUAGUGUAUAAAUACCCUUCAUCUCAUCCUUGCUAUUGUUACUGUAUUUUAAAAAUAAUUGUGCAUAUAAUUACCCGCUUUUACUCUGUUUUAAAAAAAUACCUACUUACUCGAUUAUAAAAUCCUAUAAAAAGGGGUGAACUCAAAAGGAAAGAGAAGCCAAUUUUCAUUACAUUUCUAAACUAAACAGCUAAUCCUGAUAGAUUCACUCCCUUUCAAAUAGAACACUCAAGAAAUAAAACAGUAAAAAUUCACA